Molecule: ribosomal RNA, 486 nt
Filed under: Burkholderia sp. C2PN46
Lineage: Bacteria; Pseudomonadati; Pseudomonadota; Betaproteobacteria; Burkholderiales; Burkholderiaceae
Description: bacterial SSU rRNA
Rfam family: Bacterial small subunit ribosomal RNA
Source: RNAcentral
AUCCUGGCUCAGAUUGAGACGCUGGCGGCAUGCCUUUACACAAGCAAGUCGGACGGCAGCACGGGGGCCAUCCCUGGUGGCGAGUGGCGAACGGGUGAGUAAAACAUUCGGAAACGUGUCCUGUAGUGGGGGAUAGCCCGGCGAAAGCCGGAUUAAUACCGCAUACGCUUUACGGAGGAAAGGGGGGGAUCUUAGGACCUCUCGCUACAGGGGCGGCCGAUGGCAGAUUAGCUAGUUGGUGGGGUAAAGGCCUACCAAGGCGACGAUCUGUAGCUGGUCUGAGAGGACGACCAGCCACACUGGGACUGAGACACGGCCCAGACUCCUACGGGAGGCAGCAGUGGGGAAUUUUGGACAAUGGGCGCAAGCCUGAUCCAGCAAUGCCGCGUGUGUGAAGAAGGCCUUCGGGUUGUAAAGCACUUUUGUCCGGAAAGAAAACCUCUGGGUUAAUACCCCGGGGGGAUGACGGUACCGGAAGAAUAGCAC